RNAcentral lists this ribosomal RNA (422 nucleotides) under uncultured bacterium. RNAcentral's name for it is "bacterial SSU rRNA". It matches the Rfam family "Bacterial small subunit ribosomal RNA", at positions 355 to 774 of the family's 1533-position model. The record is from RNAcentral.
UGAGGAAUAUUGGGCAAUGCCCGCAAGGGUGACCCAGCAACGCCGCGUGGAGGAUGAAUGUCGUAAGAUUGUAAACUCCUGUUAGAGGGGAAGAAUAGUACCGGUUGGACCGGUAUAUGACUGUACCCUCAGAGAAAGCCCCGGCUAACUACGUGCCAGCAGCCGCGGUAAUACGUAGGGGGCAAGCGUUGUCCGGAUUUACUGGGUGUACAGGGCGCGCAGGCGGGAUAAAAAGUCAGUGGUGAAAUCCUACAGCUUAACUGUAGAACUGCCUUUGAUACUUUUAUUCUUGAGUUCGGGAGAGAGAGACGGAAUUCCAGGUGUAGUGGUGAAAUACGUAGAUAUCUGGAAGAACACCUGUUGCGAAGGCGGUCUCUUGGUCCGACACUGACGCUGAGGCGCGAAAGCGUGGGGAGCAAACA